RNAcentral lists this ribosomal RNA (275 nucleotides) under Craterostigmus tasmanianus. Its description in RNAcentral is "partial 18S ribosomal RNA". It matches the Rfam family "Eukaryotic small subunit ribosomal RNA", at positions 627 to 900 of the family's 1831-position model. The record is from RNAcentral. Lineage: Eukaryota; Metazoa; Arthropoda; Chilopoda; Craterostigmomorpha; Craterostigmidae.
CUCGUAGUUGGAUCUCGGUGCCGGUCUGGCGGUCCGCCUCGCCGCGGUCUCACUGCCAGUCCCGGAGCCAUCCCGCCGGCCUUCCCUCGGUGCUCUUUACCGAGUGUCUUGGGUGACCGGAACGUUUACUUUGAACAAAUUAAAGUGCUCCAAGCAGGCGCGUCCCGCCCGCAUAGCCCAGCAUGGAAUAAUGGAAUAGGACCUCGGUUCUAUUUUGUUGGUUUUCGGAACCCGAGGUAAUGAUUAAUAGGGACAGACGGGGGCAUUCGUAUUGC